CCUACGGGAGGCAGCAGUAAGGAAUAUUGGUCAAUGGAGGCAACUCUGAACCAGCCAUGCCGCGUGCAGGAUGAAGGCCCUAUGGGUCGUAAACUGCUUUUGUACCAGAGAAAACCCGAGUACGUGUACUCGGUUGAUAGUAUGGUAAGAAUAAGCAUCGGCUAACUUCGUGCCAGCAGCCGCGGUAAGACGAAGGAUGCAAGCGUUAUCCGGAUUCAUUGGGUUUAAAGGGUGCGUAGGCGGACUGAUAAGUCAGUGGUGAAAUCUCUCGGCUUAACCGAGAAACUGCCAUUGAUACUGUCAGUCUAGAGUACAGAUGAUGUGGGCGGAAUAUGACAUGUAGCGGUGAAAUGCUUAGAUAUGUCAUAGAACACCGAUUGCGAAGGCAGCUCACAAAACUGUAACUGACGCUGAGGCACGAAAGUGCGGGGAUCAAACAGGAUUAGAUACCCUGGUAGUCCGCACCGUAAACGAUGAUUACUCGUUGUUGGCAAUAUGACCGUCAGCGACCAAGCGAAAGCGAUAAGAAUCCACCUGGGGAGUACGCCGGCGAACGGUGAAACUCAAAUGAAUUGACGG
RNAcentral lists this ribosomal RNA (579 nucleotides) under uncultured bacterium. Its description in RNAcentral is "bacterial SSU rRNA". It matches the Rfam family "Bacterial small subunit ribosomal RNA", at positions 338 to 916 of the family's 1533-position model. The record is from RNAcentral.